AGAGUUUGAUCAUGGCUCAGAUUGAACGCUGGCGGUAUGCUUAACACAUGCAAGUCGAACGGUAGCCACUUCGGUGGUGAGAGUGGCGGACGGGUGAGUAACGCGUAGGAAUCUGCCCUGUAGUGGGGGACAACGUGGGGAAACCCACGCUAAUACCGCAUACGCGGGGGGAAAGCGGGGGACCGCAAGGCCUCGCGCUAUAGGAUGAGCCUGCGUUGGAUUAGCUUGUUGGUAGGGUAAAGGCCUACCAAGGCGACGAUCCAUAGCUGGUCUGAGAGGACGAUCAGCCACACUGGGACUGAGACACGGCCCAGACUCCUACGGGAGGCAGCAGUGGGGAAUAUUGGACAAUGGGCGCAAGCCUGAUCCAGCAAUACCGCGUGUGUGAAGAAGGCCUGAGGGUUGUAAAGCACUUUCGAUGGGGAGGAAAAAGGCAGGCCCAAUACGCCUGCCCUUGACAUUACCCAUAGAAGAAGCACCGGCUAACUCCGUGCCAGCAGCCGCGGUAAUACGGAGGGUGCGAGCGUUAAUCGGAAUUACUGGGCGUAAAGCGUGCGUAGGCGGCCUGUUAAGUCAGAUGUGAAAGCCCUGGGCUCAACCUGGGAACGGCAUUUGAAACUGGCAGGCUAGAGUUGGGUAGAGGGGAGCGGAAUUCCGGGUGUAGCGGUGAAAUGCGUAGAUAUCCGGAGGAACACCAGUGGCGAAGGCGGCUCCCUGGACCCAAACUGACGCUGAGGUACGAAAGCGUGGGUAGCAAACAGGAUUAGAUACCCUGGUAGUCCACGCCGUAAACGAUGUCGACUAGCCGUUGGCCCCUAUUGGGGGUUAGUGGCGCAGCUAACGCAUUAAGUCGACCGCCUGGGGAGUACGGCCGCAAGGUUAAAACUCAAAUGAAUUGACGGGGGCCCGCACAAGCGGUGGAGCAUGUGGUUUAAUUCGAUGCAACGCGAAGAACCUUACCUACCCUUGACAUCCUCAGAAUUUGUCAGAGAUGACUUAGUGCCUUCGGGAACUGAGAGACAGGUGCUGCAUGGCUGUCGUCAGCUCGUGUUGUGAAAUGUUGGGUUAAGUCCCGUAACGAGCGCAACCCUUAUCCUUAGUUGCCAGCGGGUUAUGCCGGGAACUCUAGGGAGACUGCCGGUGAUAAACCGGAGGAAGGUGGGGACGACGUCAAGUCAUCAUGGCCCUUAUGGGUAGGGCUACACACGUGCUACAAUGGCCGGUACAGAGGGCUGCGAACUUGCAAAAGUAAGCCAAUCCCACAAAGCCGGUCCCAGUCCGGAUCGGAGUCUGCAACUCGACUCCGUGAAGUCGGAAUCGCUAGUAAUCGCGGAUCAGAAUGCCGCGGUGAAUACGUUCCCGGGCCUUGUACACACCGCCCGUCACACCAUGGGAGUGGGUUGCAAAAGAAGUGGGUAGUCUAACCUUCGGGGGGGCGCUCACCACUUUGUGAUUCAUGACUGGGGUGAAGUCGUAACAAGGUA
RNAcentral lists this ribosomal RNA (1484 nucleotides) under metagenome. RNAcentral describes it as "bacterial SSU rRNA". It matches the Rfam family "Bacterial small subunit ribosomal RNA". The record is from RNAcentral.